This is a long non-coding RNA of Sinocyclocheilus anshuiensis, 420 nucleotides long. RefSeq lists it as uncharacterized. The record is from RefSeq and is a predicted model, not a curated record. The transcript has 3 exons. NCBI's taxonomy places the organism in Eukaryota, Metazoa, Chordata, Actinopteri, Cypriniformes, Cyprinidae.
CGAGUGAGUUGAAGUGCAUGGGCUGGAAAACAACACCGUCUGUUGUUUGGUCAGGGGAAAAAAAGGGAAAUCCUCGGUUGGGUGUUGGUCUGGUCGCUGAGCAGUUUGGAGCAGUCUGCGAUCACACAGAUUUCGUAUUUCUCCGUGGGUGAGAAAUAUCUGCGUAGAGGAAUCGUGCAGGCCGCGGAGAUCGAGCAGGGGAGAACGAAGGCACGUGAAGGUGCAUGUGAGGUGACAGCUGGGUGAAUUUCUAAUGUGACGCAGCACGCCACAGAAAAGCAUUAUAAGCCACUACCGUUGUUUAUCCAGGGGGUUAAGUGCUCACACCAAUUUAUUUGUACUGUGUUUAAUUAAUUCAUUUAUUUAAUUUUUUGUUACUGUGGGGCUAUCCUUGUAAAGGGAAAAAGGGGAAUUGGCGAA